This 72-nucleotide transfer RNA is filed under the name Camelus ferus (Wild Bactrian camel). It matches the Rfam family "tRNA". From Rfam's summary of the family: Transfer RNA (tRNA) molecules are approximately 80 nucleotides in length. Lineage: Eukaryota; Metazoa; Chordata; Mammalia; Artiodactyla; Camelidae. The record is from Rfam by way of RNAcentral.
GAGGGUAUAGCUCAGUGAUAGGUCAUAUGCUUCAUAUGCAUGAAAUCCUGGAUUCAAUCCCAGGUACCUCCA